UACGAAGGGGGCUAGCGUUGUUCGGAUUUACUGGGCGUAAAGCGCACGUAGGCGGAUCUUUAAGUCAGAGGUGAAAUCCCAAGGCUCAACCUUGGAACUGCCUUUGAUACUGGGGAUCUUGAGUCCGGGAGAGGUGAGUGGAAUUCCCAGUGUAGCGGUGAAAUGCGUAGAUAUUGGGAGGAACACCAGUGGCGAAGGCGGCUCACUGGACCGGUACUGACGCUGAUGCGCGAAAGCGUGGGGAGCAAACGGG
RNAcentral lists this ribosomal RNA (253 nucleotides) under uncultured bacterium. Its description in RNAcentral is "partial 16S ribosomal RNA". It matches the Rfam family "Bacterial small subunit ribosomal RNA", at positions 524 to 776 of the family's 1533-position model. The record is from RNAcentral.